Molecule: ribosomal RNA, 305 nt
Filed under: uncultured bacterium
Lineage: Bacteria
Description: bacterial SSU rRNA
Rfam family: Bacterial small subunit ribosomal RNA
Source: RNAcentral
UCCUACGGGAGGCAGCAGUGGGGAAUAUUGGGCAAUGGAGGCAACUCUGACCCAGCAACGCCGCGUGAACGAUGAAGGUCUUCGGAUUGUAAAGUUCUUUAAGUGGGGACGAAGAAAGUGACUGUACCCACAGAAUAAGCCUCGGCUAACUACGUGCCAGCAGCCGCGGUAAUACGUAGGAGGCAAGCGUUAUCCGGAAUGACUGGGCGUAAAGGGUGCGUAGGUGGUUUGGCAAGUUGGUAGCGUAAUCCCGGGGCUCAACCUCGGUGCUACUACCAAAACUGCUGGGCUUGAGUGCAGGAGGG